Long non-coding RNA from Leptopilina boulardi, 1280 nucleotides. RefSeq lists it as uncharacterized. The transcript has 5 exons. The record is from RefSeq and is a predicted model, not a curated record. NCBI's taxonomy places the organism in Eukaryota, Metazoa, Arthropoda, Insecta, Hymenoptera, Figitidae.
CGCUGCUCUACUACUUUGAUUACCCAUAUUUAAGCCAAUAUUUCUCGAACAGACCUGCGAUUGUAUGUGCUCGCAAACUCUUCUAAAUCUUCGAAUAUUGCCUGUGAAUUAAAAAAAAAAUCAUCAAAAUUGAAAUAAGUAAAAAUUACCUCUUCGGUACUCGUGAGCAAUUUGCGUCGAUGGAAUCGUGGACUUCCUAGGAAUGAAUUUUUAAUUGUUGUCAAACGUGAUCUCCAAUGAUGAGCGCCCGAUCCUGCUCCCGUGUGAGGUGAUCCUGGAGGUGUUACACCAACUAAAAAAAAAAAUUUUUUUUAAUACCAAAAUUAAGUUGAACUUCACUUAAUUCAAUUCCAACGCUUGCCAAUGGAGGAAUGGGAGUUGGAAUUCCUUGUGUCGAAUUGCCAUUUCCGCCAGCGGUACCGACAGUUGACAAUCUAUGCGGACUUCCUGUUUGGCCAUGAUGUGAGCUUGGAGUCGCUCUAUGAGGACUCAAUAGACCUGAGAAAUUUGAUGUGUGAAGAGGCGAUCCACCAGGAGUCGAUGCGUGUGAAUGCGAAGCCAUCCGAGACUUGCGAUGGCCUGUAAAACGUCAGGAUCAAUUGCGUCCUCGGACGGAAUCACGUGUGUUUGCACCACAUCCAUCAUUGAAAGUUCUAAUUCCAAUUCUCCCUUGCCAGCAGCUGUCACCCAUAUAUGCCUGUUUAUCUCCGCUAACUGAAAGCCGGAUAUUGUUUAGCUCGAAACAUUUAUAUAUACAGGUAAAAACAGAAUAUUGUCAACAUGAAUAUUUUCUCGAGAAAGGAGAGAGAGAGAGAAAGAGAGUUUCGGUAUCAUUCCCUGAAGAUGUGAUUUAACCAACACCCUCCUAGGAAAUAAUUUCCUGACAAGAAAUUUCAUUAGUCGCCGUCAACUAGAGAUGGAAGGCAAGGCGUGUACAAAACUUCAAGUGUUGUAUAUAAGGGAGAAAUUUUCACCAGUCAACCAGGUGGCUAUUGAAUUUAAUUUGAUUUGUUUUUCGGAUCAGUUAAUACCGCUGAGAGACAACCUUGACCUAAUCAUCUCUUCAACGAAUGGAUAAUCAUUUUUCCUAGUAUCAAAAUCUCAUUUUUUUUUCGAAAACAUCAUUUUUCAAAUUUUUUUUGCCUUAGAAUAAUUUUUUUUUUACUUUAAAUUAGAUUAAUUUAAAAAAAAAUACUUUUUAUAUUUAAAAUGAGAUUAUGUCUCAAAAUAUAGAAAAUGUUUUUUUUUUUCGUUGAUUUUUGUGAUUUGAAAAAAAAGAG